CCAGAGGGUCGGGCGAUCGCCGCUGGUGGGGUAUCCCGCCGGGGGAGGAAAGUCCGGGCUCCACGGAAACCACGGUGCCGGAUAACGUCCGGCGGUUCGCGCGUUCGUGCGGAUUAGGGAAAGUGCCACAGAGAGUAGAUCGCCAAAGGCUUCGGCCCGGCGAAAGGUGAAAGGGUGCGGUAAGAGCGCACCGCGCGGCUGGUAACAGGCGCGGCACGGCAAACCCCACCGGGAGCAAGGUCGAAUAGGGACGGUACGGAGCAAUCCAGGGUCGGUUCCGGCCCAGCCGUCCGGGUUGACUGCUUGAGCGUUCGGGUAACCGUUCGCCUAGAGGAAUGAUCGCCCAUCCCCUGCAAAGGGGUGGACAGAACCCGGCUUACAGACCCUCUGGCAAU
Molecule: RNase P RNA, 395 nt
Filed under: Sphingopyxis witflariensis
Lineage: Bacteria; Pseudomonadati; Pseudomonadota; Alphaproteobacteria; Sphingomonadales; Sphingopyxidaceae
Description: Bacterial RNase P class A
Rfam family: Bacterial RNase P class A
About the family: Ribonuclease P (RNase P) is a ubiquitous endoribonuclease, found in archaea, bacteria and eukarya as well as chloroplasts and mitochondria. Its best characterised activity is the generation of mature 5'-ends of tRNAs by cleaving the 5'-leader elements of precursor-tRNAs.
Source: Rfam by way of RNAcentral